Molecule: non-coding RNA, 21 nt
Filed under: Caenorhabditis elegans
Lineage: Eukaryota; Metazoa; Nematoda; Chromadorea; Rhabditida; Rhabditidae
Source: RNAcentral
UAGUUAUUUAGUGUUUUGUCU